UACGUAGGGGGCGAGCGUUGUCCGGAUUUAUUGGGCGUAAAGAGCUCGUAGGCGGUUGGGUAAGUCGGGUGUGAAAACUCAGGGCUCAACUCUGAGACGCCACUCGAUACUGCCCUGACUCGAGUCCGGUAGGGGAGCGUGGAAUUCCCGGUGUAGCGGUGAAAUGCGCAGAUAUCGGGAGGAACACCAGUGGCGAAGGCGGCGCUCUGGGCCGGAACUGACGCUGAGGAGCGAAAGCGUGGGGAGCGAACAGG
RNAcentral lists this ribosomal RNA (254 nucleotides) under uncultured bacterium. RNAcentral's name for it is "partial 16S ribosomal RNA". It matches the Rfam family "Bacterial small subunit ribosomal RNA", at positions 524 to 776 of the family's 1533-position model. The record is from RNAcentral.